AGGAUGAACGCUAGCGGCAGGCCUAAUACAUGCAAGCUGAACGGUAAAUAGUGUAGCAAUACAUUAUGAGAGUAGCGUAAGGGUGCGUAACACGUAUGCAAUCUGCCCUGUACAGGAGAAUAGCUCGGGGAAACCCGGAUUAAUGCUCCGUAAUAUUGUUGGGUGCAUCACAUGACAAUUAAAGUUGCAAGAUGGUACAGGAUGAGCAUGCGUCUGAUUAGCUAGUUGGUAGUGUAACGGACUACCAAGGCGAAUGAUC
This 259-nucleotide ribosomal RNA is filed under the name uncultured soil bacterium. Its description in RNAcentral is "partial 16S ribosomal RNA". It matches the Rfam family "Bacterial small subunit ribosomal RNA", at positions 26 to 281 of the family's 1533-position model. The record is from RNAcentral.